Molecule: ribosomal RNA, 374 nt
Filed under: uncultured organism
Description: partial 16S ribosomal RNA
Rfam family: Bacterial small subunit ribosomal RNA
Source: RNAcentral
AGAGGGUGCAAGCGUUAAUCGGGAAUUACUGGGGCGUAAAGCGCGCGUAGGCGGAUAUUUAAGUCGGAUGUGAAAGCCCUGGGGGCUCAACCUGGGAACUGCAUUCGAUACUGGAUAUCUAGAGUAUGGUAGAGGAAAGUAGAAUUCCUGGUGUAGCGGUGAAAUGCGUAGAUAUCAGGAGGAAUACCAGUGGCGAAGGCGGCUUUCUGGACCAAUACUGACGCUGAGGUGCGAAAGCGUGGGGAGCAAACAGGAUUAGAGACCCUGGUAGUCCACGCCGUCAACGAUGAGAACUAGCCGUUGGGAGGCAUGACCUCUUAGUGGCGAAGCUAACGCGUUAAGUUCUCCGCCUGGGGAGUACGGCCGCAAGGUUA